AUUGAACGCUGGCGGCAGGCUUAACACAUGCAAGUCGAGCGGGGAAGGGUAGCUUGCUACCUAACCUAGCGGCGGACGGGUGAGUAAUGCUUAGGAAUCUGCCAUUUAGUGGGGGACAACAUUCCGAAAGGAAUGCUAAUACCGCAUACGUCCUACGGGAGAAAGCAGGGGAUCUUCGGACCUUGCGCUAAAUGAUGAGCCUAAGUCGGAGUAGCUAGUUGGUGGGGUAAAGGCCUACCAAGGCGACGAUCUGUAGCGGGUCUGAGAGGAUGAUCCGCCACACUGGGACUGAGAAACGGCCCAGACUCCUACGGGAGGCAGCAGUGGGGAAUAUUGGACAAUGGGCGGAAGCCUGAUCCAGCCAUGCCGCGUGUGUGAAGAAGGCCUUAUGGUUGUAAAGCACUUUAAGCGAGGAGGAGGCUACUAGUAUUAAUACUACUGGAUAGUGGACGUUACUCGCAGAAUAAGCACCGGCUAACUCUGUGCCAGCCGCCGCCGUAA
This 501-nucleotide ribosomal RNA is filed under the name uncultured bacterium. Its description in RNAcentral is "partial 16S ribosomal RNA". It matches the Rfam family "Bacterial small subunit ribosomal RNA", at positions 30 to 523 of the family's 1533-position model. The record is from RNAcentral.